RNAcentral lists this long non-coding RNA (419 nucleotides) under Gossypium barbadense (sea-island cotton). Its description in RNAcentral is "long non-coding RNA (GBAR_LNC014187)". The record is from RNAcentral. Lineage: Eukaryota; Viridiplantae; Streptophyta; Magnoliopsida; Malvales; Malvaceae.
UGCGCCCCUCAAGUUUCUCUAUUCCGUUGGAUUUUUCUUUCCAUUUUUCCUUUCUCAAAAACCAACUAUUACCGUGAAUUGCCGCCCCCUGAGUCAUCUUCGGCCCGAAACGUCUUUGAUUCUCCACUACAUUCUCUUCUGUUUUCUGGUUUCCUGAUGGUGCUUCCCAAAAUUGAACCAAAACCUUAAAAUCUAGGGAUCAAGUUCAAAACAAAGAUCUUCUCAUCAAGCCAAAGCCAUCAUAUUAUAGUCUCUUUCUGAUCACCGAUUGCUUUCUACCAUUCUGGUUCAUCGGAUGAAGUCUUGAAAGCCGCAAACGACCACGGCAUGUUGAUUUUCUUUUCUCUUUUGAAGUUUUGAUUCUUUUGUCAUCUUUUCCAUCUUUAAAAAAAAAAACGUAUCUGUAUUUUGGAAAAAAA